RNAcentral lists this ribosomal RNA (610 nucleotides) under uncultured bacterium. Its description in RNAcentral is "bacterial SSU rRNA". It matches the Rfam family "Bacterial small subunit ribosomal RNA", at positions 338 to 942 of the family's 1533-position model. RNAcentral also lists the same sequence under 1 other name. The record is from RNAcentral.
CCUACGGGAGGCAGCAGUGGGGAAUCUUCCGCAAUGGACGAAAGUCUGACGGAGCAACGCCGCGUGAGUGAAGAAGGCCUUCGGGUUGUAAAGCUCUGUCUUUGGGGACGAAUGUGCCUGUCAUAAAUAAUGACAGGCAAUGACGGUACCCGAGGAGGAAGCCACGGCUAACUACGUGCCAGCAGCCGCGGUAAUACGUAGGUGGCAAGCGUUGUCCGGAAUUAUUGGGCGUAAAGCGCGCGCAGGCGGGAUAUCAAGUCUAUCUUAAAAGUGCGGGGCUCAACCCCGUGAGGGGAUAGAAACUGGUAUUCUUGAGUAUCGGAGAGGAAAGUGGAAUUCCCAGUGUAGCGGUGAAAUGCGUAGAUAUUGGGAGGAACACCAGUGGCGAAGGCGACUUUCUGGACGAUGUCUGACGCUGAGGCGCGAAAGCCAGGGAAGUGAACGGGAUUAGAUACCCCGGUAAUCCUGGCCGUAAACGAUGGGUACUAGGUGUAGAGGGUAUCGACCCCUUCUGUGCCGGAGUUAACGCAAUAAGUACCCCGCCUGGGGAGUACGGCCGCAAGGUUGAAACUCAAAGGAAUGACGGAAUCUCGACUGCAGGAUACUGCCU